This 165-nucleotide ribosomal RNA is filed under the name uncultured bacterium. RNAcentral's name for it is "partial 16S rRNA". It matches the Rfam family "Bacterial small subunit ribosomal RNA", at positions 355 to 511 of the family's 1533-position model. The record is from RNAcentral.
UAGGGAAUCUUCCACAAUGGGCGAAAGCCUGAUGGAGCAACGCCGCGUGUGUGAUGAAGGCUUUAGGGUCGUAAAGCACUGUUGUAUGGGAAGAAAUGCUAGAAUAGGGAAUGAUUCUAGUUCGACGGUACCAUACCAGGAAAGGGACGGCUAAAUACUUGCCAC